Molecule: ribosomal RNA, 375 nt
Filed under: uncultured organism
Description: bacterial SSU rRNA
Rfam family: Bacterial small subunit ribosomal RNA
Source: RNAcentral
CGUAGGGGGCGAGCGUUGUCCGGAUUUAUUGGGCGUAAAGCGCGCGUAGGCGGCUGUUCAAGUCGGUAGUGAAAACUCGAGGCUUAACCUCGGGCUUGCUGUCGAGACUGGGCGGCUGGAGUCUGGUAGGGGGGUCUGGAAUUCCUGGUGUAGCGGUGGAAUGCGCAGAUAUCAGGAGGAACACCGGUGGCGAAGGCGGGACCCUGGGCCAGUACUGACGCUGAUGCGCGAAAGCGGUGGGGAGCAAACAGGAUUAGAUACCCUGGUAGUCCACGCUGUAAACGAGUGGGUGCUAGGUGUGGGGGGUAGUUGACUCCUUCCGUGCCGCAGCUAACGCAGUAAGCACCCCGCCUGGGGAGUACGGCCGCAAGGCUA